This is a long non-coding RNA of Heterocephalus glaber (naked mole-rat), 434 nucleotides long. RefSeq lists it as uncharacterized. NCBI's taxonomy places the organism in Eukaryota, Metazoa, Chordata, Mammalia, Rodentia, Bathyergidae. The record is from RefSeq and is a predicted model, not a curated record.
GAGUAAAGAAAAAAGAACUCAAGUCCUUGGUGAUGCCAAUGAACUGCUGAAAUAGCCAGUCCUAAAACCCUGACCUCAGCCCUCUUGUUUUGAUUCAGAAAUGUAUUUUUACCUUUUAAUAGUUCCAAAUGCAGGCUAUGUCUUACGAGCAAUGACAUCUCAGUUUCUGUCAAAUACAAAAGCAUGUAAGAAUAAUUCCCUGGAAGAAUGCAUCAUGAAAAUCCCAGACAGUGGUUUGACUGCGAGUUACAGUUCUGUUAUAGUGUGGAUGUUGAAUGUCCUCCAAAGACCUGUAUGUUAAAAGUUUAGGAGCUAAGCAGUUGGCACCACCUCCCAUCCACCAUGAUGUGCUGCCUUACUAGAGGCCCAAAGCAAAGGCCCAAGUGCCUUUAAUCUCGGACUGGACUCUCCAGAACUGUGAGCCAAAAUAAAAC